Molecule: ribosomal RNA, 253 nt
Filed under: uncultured bacterium
Lineage: Bacteria
Description: partial 16S ribosomal RNA
Rfam family: Bacterial small subunit ribosomal RNA
Source: RNAcentral
GACGGAGGGUGCGAGCGUUGUUCGGAAUUACUGGGCGUAAAGCGCGCGCAGGUGGGUGCGUAAGUCGGAGGUGAAAGCGCAGGGCUCAACCCUGCGACGCCCUUCGAGACUGCGUGUCUAGGGACCGGUAGAGGUGAGUGGAAUUCCCGGUGUAGCGGUAGAAUGCGUAGAUAUCGGGAAGAACACCGGAGGCGAAGGCGGCUCACUGGGCCGGAUCCGACACUGAGGCGCGAAAGCGUGGGGAGCAAACAGG